Long non-coding RNA from Pezoporus flaviventris, 702 nucleotides. RefSeq lists it as uncharacterized. NCBI's taxonomy places the organism in Eukaryota, Metazoa, Chordata, Aves, Psittaciformes, Psittacidae. The transcript has 2 exons. The record is from RefSeq and is a predicted model, not a curated record.
UAAUGGACUUUCUGGACAUUGAGCCUGUGAGCUGUAGGAAUAGCAAACACAUAAGAUUCUAGCCAAGCUCCUGAACUGACAGGUACAAUGGACAGUAUAAAGACCAAUAGGGAUUGCUUUAUAAAACAGUUACUGUACUUUAAACAUCUGUAGAGGAGUUCUUCAGAAGGUGGAGGAGAUGAUUCCUUUUGUGAGGCACCAGAGAGACCUUGAACUGUGGAGUCUGCUUUUCCAAUACUGCACAGCUUUGACCAUUGCCUUAAUUUCUGUGUACUUUAGUGUGCUUCAUUACAUUUUAGGCACUCUGCAUAUGUAACUGGGGGCAGUUUAGAGAGAGGAAAUUUUUAUUAAAUAUGUUAAUCACCUAACAACAUUUGGCUUGCAGUCUCAACUGAACUGUUUCUCAGAGAAACAGAUAAGAGGAAAGCAGGUUGCAUGCAUAAAAUAAAUGUAACGUGAAGUAAAUUAAAAAUACAAAGGUGGAAGAUCAGUUGUUUUCUCAAAUCCUUUCAGUUCUAGUAAUGUGGGUUUAAUACGUCAGAAAAAGAAAUGGAGUCUCUAUGUGAUUUUUACCUUGCCUCUGAUCUUUUAUUACCGCUAAAACUCCUAUGGUAUUUGUUUGAAAAACAAGUUCUUUAAUGUAUUUAUUAAAAUGACAAUAUGUUUCCAUACUUUAUUAUGAUUAAAGUCCUGUUGGCUGGA